UGGGGAAUCUUGGACAAUGGGCGAAAGCCUGAUCCAGCGACGCCGCGUGGGGGAUGAAGCCCUUCGGGGUGUAAACCCCUGUUGCGAGGGAGGAAUAAGGCCUGGAGGAAAUGCCAGGCCGAUGACUGUACCUCGCGAGGAAGCCCCGGCUAACUACGUGCCAGCAGCCGCGGUAAUACGUAGGGGGCGAGCGUUACCCGGAUUCACUGGGCGUAAAGCGGGUGUAGGCGGCUCGGUAAGUCGGGUGUGAAAUCCCACAGCUCAACUGUGGAAUUGCGCCCGAAACUGCUGAGCUUGGGGCCGGUAGAGGGAGACGGAACUGCCGGUGUAGGGGUGAAAUCCGUAGAUAUCGGCAGGAACGCCGGUGGGGAAGCCGGUCUCCUGGGCCGCGCCCGACGCUGAGACCCGAAAGCUAGGGGAGCAAACCGGAUUAGAUACCCGGGUAGUCCUAGCCGUAAACGAUGCCCACUAGGUGUGGGGGAUUAAUUCCUCCGUGCUGUAGCUAACGCGUUAAGUGGGCCGCCUGGGGAGUACGCCCGCAAGGGUGAAACUCAAAGGAAUUGGCGGGACCCCGCACAAGCGGUGGAGCGCGUGGUUUAAUUGGAUGCUGAGCCAAGAACCUUACCAGGUCUUGACAUGCAGGUGGUACCGACCCGAAAGGGGAGGGACCCCAUCCUUUUGGAUGGGGAGCCUGCACAGGUGGUGCACGGCCGUCGUCAGCUCGUGCCGUGAGGUGUUGGGUUAAGUCCCGCAACGAGCGCAACCCCUGCCCUUAGUUGCCAUCGGUUCGGCCGGGCACUCUAAGGGGACUGCCCGAACGAGCCGGGAGGAAGGAGGGGACGACGUCAGGUACUCGUGCCCUUUAUGCCCUGGGCUACACACGCGCUACAAUGGGUGGUACAAUGGGUUGCGACCCCGCGAGGGGGAGCCAUCCCUAAACCACCCUCAGUUCGGAUCGCAGCUGCACCGCUGCGUGAGCCGAUCGCUAGUAUCGCGAUCAGCCACGCCGCGGUGAAUACGUCCGGGU
This 1027-nucleotide ribosomal RNA is filed under the name Thermotoga sp. enrichment culture. RNAcentral describes it as "bacterial SSU rRNA". It matches the Rfam family "Bacterial small subunit ribosomal RNA", at positions 355 to 1379 of the family's 1533-position model. The record is from RNAcentral. Lineage: Bacteria; Thermotogati; Thermotogota; Thermotogae; Thermotogales; Thermotogaceae.